This is a non-coding RNA of Salvelinus sp. IW2-2015, 1005 nucleotides long. The record is from RefSeq and is a predicted model, not a curated record. Lineage: Eukaryota; Metazoa; Chordata; Actinopteri; Salmoniformes; Salmonidae.
CUGGCACCCGUGCACUCUGCCACAGCAACGGAGGUCAUCUGAGCAGACAGUUCCCUUACCUCACACUUCAUUGGGCUGCCAUGGUUACGUAAGGACGGCGGCAGAGAAUGUGUUUGAGCAGAUCACUUUUGUCAGCUUUUCAAAGUGUGUUUCAUUAGGGUUAUUGUCCCACUUGCGACUACAUGUCAACUGCAUGAACUUUACACAAAUCACGUGAUCAAAGGUCAUGCAGUUUUUGAUGAAGUCGCCUUCAAUGAAUUGCAGUAGCGUCUUACCAACUGCACCAUGCUGGCAUCACCUGCAUCGUGGGAGGCACAAUUUGUCAACCAAUGUAACGUUCGUCGUCUGAAGAUGAGGAAUCAUCGGACCAAAGCGCAGCGUGAUGCACCUCCCCGACUUCACACGCCGACUUUGGUUUACAAUCGGCUUCGUUAGGCUUACUGCUCGAGCUCACCCAGACUCUCAUCCCUGAGUUGUCCCAGCAUACACUGCACAUCUUCGUCUGUUGACCCAGCGCAGUGUCCAAUGCACAACGAGAGGAACUCCAGGAGUCUCCUGGGGAGGAGCACGGCACACUAUGUUUCACCUAUCCAAGUCAUCCAACCCCAAUCUAGAAAUUCUAAUGCAUUGACAUACUAAGGACUCAUUCUACCGACAGAACAAAAAAAAAUUGAGGAAGCAUACACAUGUAUUAUUCAUCAAACCUUGAUCAAAGCCCUCAUUUUGUAUAUCUAUGGAGUUUGCAUAAUUUGCAAGUUGUUGCAAUAUAUGAGUAUUUUUGGUCUUGUGUUUUUUUUUCUUCUCACAAAUACAUCCAUGAAUCGACCAGUAGGAUUCUCAGCUUAUUAUCUGGGUUUGUUUACCUAGUGUUGUUUUCUGAGCCACAGCCAUACUACACUGUUGGAUUAGCUCAGACCUCCAACUGGGUGUGUGUACUGUAUUCCCUAUGCUGGUCCAAUGCAAAAUGCAUCGUAAUAAACACAUUGUCAGGCAAACGUGAAAUGA